Molecule: long non-coding RNA, 1949 nt
Organism: Cyprinus carpio (common carp)
Lineage: Eukaryota; Metazoa; Chordata; Actinopteri; Cypriniformes; Cyprinidae
Source: Ensembl
UAAAAGUCUUUACUUUCACUUUGGAUCAAUUUAACGCAUCCUUGCUGAAUAAAAGUAGCAUAUCAAUUUCUUAAAAAAAAAUUCUGACCCCUAGCCUAUAUGUUGUUUACACUUUGUAUAUAAACAUCAGACUACUAAAACGCUCUCAUCAGUAACAUAAGAACAUUGUGAUCUCAGAUGAGUCAUGUGAUUGUUAAUGAGUUUCUUCCUGUGUACAGUUUGAACCGUCACGUCUGCUGCUCAGCACGGGCUGCGCGUGUUAGACGUGCUUUCCCAACACUGUCUGUGCAUCUAGGGAAGAAAGCAUGGCACAUAUCACAGCGAAACGGGUCAAAAGUAUCUGAUGCAGCCGUGUCCUCGGAGUCACAACCACUACAGCAUGCAUAGAGUGAGUCCUGUUACCCAGCAUGCCCUGUCACCUCAUACGCAAGCAGCCUCCCCAGAGGCACAGCAUUGAUGAUUUUUACUCCGUUUUAAGGAGGUGCUGGAGUUGGGAUGUUACUGAAAGUGAAAGGUUUCCUCACUGUCUUUGUGAAAUUUGGCAGACAAGCUUCCUCGUUUCUCCAGCAGCCCAUGCAGUCAUUCACCACUCACAUGAAGCAACUUGGACAAAAGUUGCAUCUCCUCUCCAGCCUCAUGAAUAUUCAGGUGAAGUGGGCGUCGACAGGCGACCGCUGGCCUUAAAUAGACAGAGCAUCUGUACCUCCAGCACCCACCAAAAGAAACUCUGAGGAUAAACCUUAACAAGGACUUAUCAUCUGAGCGGGUUCUGCAACAAUUACAAGUGAGUAGAUGUUUUGCUUAUUAAUGUUUUUUUUUUUUUUUUGCUUAGAUGCUGUAAAAUUUAACGUACACUUUAAAAAUUAUUCAAAUUUAAACUUUAAGAGACUAUUAACCAGUUAUUUAUUUAUUUAUUUAUUUAUUUAUUUAACAAUAAUUUCCUUUAUUCUAUAUGGUGAAAAACUGUGAAAGACUGAAUGGACUUUUUAUGCAAUAUUACAGUAAAAAUCCUGAUAAAUGUAUUUGACACUUUUUGAAGUGAAAAAGAAAAAGUCACAGCUCACAUUUAAUAGUUUUCAUUGAUAUAAUCAUGUAAGACACAUGCUGUUAAAUUAAUAACUAAGGUUGAACCUUCUAUAUAUUAAUAUUUACCAGUGUUAUUUUAGUAUAAUUGAGAUACUAGUUUUUUUUGUAAUAUUUUAAAUCAGUUUUUAUAUUGUCUGUUGUCAUUUUGUUUUUAAAAUAUCCUAGAUAUAAUUUUAGAUUAUAUCUAAUAUGUAUUAUUUAAAUAUUAUUCUAGAUUUAUAUUAUAUAUUUUAUGUAAAUCGUUUUUAUUCAUUUUUAUUUGGGGUUUAGUUUGAAUCAUUUUACUACAUCAAGUUCAACUACAUUAAACUAAGAAAUGUUGUUUUGGAAAGGUUAUUUAUUUUACCUUAUUUCAGUCAACAUUUAUUUUAUUUUAUGAAACGGAUCCUUGAUUCUGAUUGGUUGAGCCACAUUCGAAGCUGUUGUAAAUUACACUACAAACAUACACCUUUGUUUAUUUUGUUGCAACCACAACUGUUUCUGAGGAACUAUAUUGUUUGGUGGAAAAAUACUGUUUUCAUUAAUAUCACUUUAUAUGCUCUGUUUUAUUCUGUGAAACCUUACUACGUAUAUGGAAUAACUGUUUUAUAAAAGCAAUAAGCCUCGUGAAGCCGUGGUUUACAGUGAAUUUAUAACAGCUAAGUGCCUAACAACGCCCCUUAGCUGUUAUAAAUUCACUGUAAACCACGGCUUCUUGGGGCUUAUUGCUUUAUCACAUAAUUUUUAUGGUUUUGAUUAUAGUUUCAGUUUUAGUUAGCUAUAGCAACCCUAAUAUUUAUCUCAGCUUCAUCAUGCAUAAUUUGAAAAAUAUUGGAAUUAAAUACCCCACUGAAAUAUGGAAAUAAAGUGAUUUAUGAACAGCA